GAUGAAGAACGUAGCGAAAUGCGAUAAGUAAUGUGAAUUGCAGAAUUCAGUGAAUCAUGGAAUCUUUGAACGCACAUUGCGCCCGCCAGUAUUCUGGCGGGCAUGCCUGUCCGAGCGUCAUUUCAACCCUCGAACCCCUCCGGGGGGUCGGCGUUGGGGACCUCGGGAGCCCCUAAGACGGGAUCCCGGCCCCGAAAUACAGUGGCGGUCUCGCCGCAGCCUCUCCUGCGCAGUAGUUUGCACAACUCGCACCGGGAGCGCGGCGCGUCCACGUCCGUAAAACACCCAACUUCUGAAAUGUUGACCUCGGAUCAGGUAGGAAUACCCGCUGAACUUAAGCAUAUCAAUAAGCGGAGGA
RNAcentral lists this unclassified non-coding RNA (358 nucleotides) under soil metagenome. Its description in RNAcentral is "partial contains 5.8S ribosomal RNA, internal transcribed spacer 2, and large subunit ribosomal RNA". The stretch from base 1 to 120 matches the Rfam family "5.8S ribosomal RNA", at positions 35 to 154 of the family's 154-position model. The record is from RNAcentral.